Molecule: ribosomal RNA, 479 nt
Filed under: uncultured organism
Description: partial 16S ribosomal RNA
Rfam family: Bacterial small subunit ribosomal RNA
Source: RNAcentral
GUACACUCCUACGGGAGGCAGCAGUGGGGAAUUUUGGACAAUGGGCGAAAGCCUGAUCCAGCAAUGCCGCGUGAGUGAAGAAGGCCUUCGGGUUGUAAAGCUCUUUUGUCAGGGAAGAAACGGUGAAAGCUAAUAUCUUUUGCUAAUGACGGUACCUGAAGAAUAAGCACCGGCUAACUACGUGCCAGCAGCCGCGGUAAUACGUAGGGUGCAAGCGUUAAUCGGAAUUACUGGGCGUAAAGCGUGCGCAGGCGGUUUUGUAAGUCUGAUGUGAAAUCCCCGGGCUCAACCUGGGAAUUGCAUUGGAGACUGCAAGGCUAGAAUCUGGCAGAGGGGGGUAGAAUUCCACGUGUAGCAGUGAAAUGCGUAGAUAUGUGGAGGAACACCGAUGGCGAAGGCAGCCCCCUGGGUCAAGAUUGACGCUCAUGCACGAAAGCGUGGGGAGCAAACAGGAUUAGAAACCCCUGUAGUCCCAUGAU